Molecule: unclassified non-coding RNA, 151 nt
Filed under: soil metagenome
Description: partial internal transcribed spacer 1
Source: RNAcentral
CGACUGGUCCAAAGACUCCCUUAAACCCUACCCGUUGCCUCCGGUGCUCCCGUCUUCGGGACCUCCGGGCAAGCUCCAUCCCGGCGGCCCUAAGAACUCUGAGCAGUCUGAAGAACGUUGCAGCCUCGGAGCAGACUAAGACAAAAAUUAC